CCUUCAUGGUGACCUUCUAAGAUGUUACCACCAGAUGAGAAACAUGUCUGCCACAAAAAGUUUCCCCUCUCCCUGCCUUUGCUGGGGCUAGUCCCGUCCUGCUCCUGGGUUUCAGACAGAGAGGAGAGCGGCAGGAUUGCCCAGGCAAAAUGUGCUAGCUGAAGGUCAGUGAUUUUCUCCAGACUUAAAGCAAGAGGGAGUUUCAAGAGGCCCGCAAUGCCUGAAAUCUCCUUCCAGAAAAUAUCCACGUGGGCAUAUGUUUGUAUCAAAUCCUGUGCCAGGAAUCUACAUGGUUUCCUUUCAAGUAUAAUUCCUUUAAAACCCUGGUCACGGGGACAAAAUUGCAAAACAUCUGAUGUUGGUUACUAAGUGGCUAAUGAUACAUUCCCAUGAAUUAGUACAAGUGACAGGGUUUGGGGGAGUUUUUUGUCUCCUCAUAACUGUAUAUCUUGUGCUUUAAUUCAAGGUCUGUCAAACAAUAAUGGUAGCAUUCCUUCUGAUUUACUAUUUCUCUGUAAAUUAUUUGACAUUUCCUAGCAUGCUUCAAUUAUUAUGUUUCUUUCUCUCUGUUGAAGAAAGAAAUGCAUCUGUUAACUUUCUUAACAUCUUGAUAAAAAGCUGUGCAGUAAAUAGAAAAAUCCAUUAAAUAUGAUGUCCAUAUAAU
This is a long non-coding RNA of Hemicordylus capensis (graceful crag lizard), 664 nucleotides long. RefSeq lists it as uncharacterized. The transcript is spliced from 3 exons. NCBI's taxonomy places the organism in Eukaryota, Metazoa, Chordata, Lepidosauria, Squamata, Cordylidae. The record is from RefSeq and is a predicted model, not a curated record.